This 73-nucleotide transfer RNA is filed under the name Oesophagostomum dentatum (nodular worm). It matches the Rfam family "tRNA". Rfam says of the family: Transfer RNA (tRNA) molecules are approximately 80 nucleotides in length. Their secondary structure includes four short double-helical elements and three loops (D, anti-codon, and T loops). Lineage: Eukaryota; Metazoa; Nematoda; Chromadorea; Rhabditida; Strongylidae. The record is from Rfam by way of RNAcentral.
GCAUCCGUGGCUCAGCGGCUAGUGCUCCAGACUGUAAAUCAGGAAGUAGGGGUUCAAUUUCCCUUCAAACCCA